This 471-nucleotide ribosomal RNA is filed under the name uncultured Sneathia sp. RNAcentral describes it as "bacterial SSU rRNA". It matches the Rfam family "Bacterial small subunit ribosomal RNA", at positions 50 to 524 of the family's 1533-position model. Lineage: Bacteria; Fusobacteriati; Fusobacteriota; Fusobacteriia; Fusobacteriales; Leptotrichiaceae. The record is from RNAcentral.
AACACAUGCAAAGUCGAUGAUGGGGAGCUAAGCUUGCUAGAAGAAAGUCAUGGCGGACGGGUGAGUAACGUGUAAAGAACUUACCAUAUAGACUGGGAUAACAGAGGGAAACUUCUGAUAAUACUGGAUAAGUUAGAAGUAGCAUUACUAAGUAAUGAAAAGGUAGAAAUACGCUAUAUGAGAGCUUUUGCAUCCUAUUAGCUAGUUGGUGGGGUAAAAGCCCCUACCCAAGGCGAUGAUAGGUAGCCGGCCUGAGAGGGUGGACGGCCACAAGGGGACUGAGAUACGGCCCUUACUCCUACGGGGAGGCAGCAGUGGGGAAUAUUGGACAAUGGAGGCAACUCUGAUCCAGCAAUUCUGUGUGUGUGAAGAAGGUUUUAGGACUGUAAAACACUUUUAGUAGGGGAAGAAAGAAAUGACGGUACCUACAGAAGAAGCGACGGCUAAAUACGUGCCAGCAGUCGCGGUAAU